This is an RNA transcript of Poecile atricapillus (Black-capped chickadee), 1672 nucleotides long. It is a transcript of the gene named MID1 interacting protein 1, with no coding region annotated. The record is from RefSeq and is a predicted model, not a curated record. NCBI's taxonomy places the organism in Eukaryota, Metazoa, Chordata, Aves, Passeriformes, Paridae. The transcript has 2 exons.
AAUUUUCUGGCCCGGUGAGAUAAUUUCUUCUUUUCCCCGUAGUGAAUUAUCUGCGAACAACCCAUAAUUUUAUACCAGCCGUAUCUCUGGCUACUGCUUCACCGCGAGUAUCUGCAGCGCACGAGCUGCCCGCGGUCCCAUCCCUCACACAGUCGGUUUGUCACGCAGGGAAGCGGCCUCCUGCCUUCGUGGGAGCGCGGAGGCUGUGGGGAGCAGGGCGGGGAGGCGCUGGGGCAGGCUGCGGGCCGGUCCCAGCUCGGGCUCCUCGUUUGCGGCAUUCCCGGGUCCGGGAGAGGCGGGCCCGGCCGCCGGGUGAUGCUCGGGCCGUUACCACGGCAACCGCCCCCCCAUCCGCGCCGCUCGGCCCCACGUGACCCGCGGCGGCGCUCGCGGCCAGCCCGCCUGUUACCAAGGCGGGGGCCCGUGGGGGGGCGCUCUUGUUUCCGAUUGGCUGCUGCCGGGGCUCGCUGAUUGGCGGAGGGCGGACGGGCGGCGCGCCGAUUGGCCGGGCCCGGAGGUGAGGCUGUGGGGUGAUGCCGGCCGGCCCGCGCCGCGCCGGGACACAGACAAAGACCGCUCGAAGGCUGCCCAAAGGCUGCCCGAGCUCUCCCCCCGCGCCCCCGGGCUGGCGGGACGCUCCGGGCGCGCUGCUGGGAGGUGGCAACGCGAGCCUGGCCGAGCGCCCACACGCCCCGCGCCCUCCCCGCCCGGCCGCCCGCUCCGACUGGCGCUGGGGCACGCGGCGCGCGGAGGGGCGGAGCCUGUGCCACGCUCGCCGAGCGCUCGGCAGCCAAUGGGCGGGCCGGGAGAACGCGGGCAGCACGCGGGGCCCGCGUGUCCCCGCGGCACGGGCUGUCAAUCACCCGUCAGUCACUCGCCCCGCCCGGAGUGGGGGAGGGCGGGCCCGCAGCGCCGCUCCGUCACGGUGCCCCUCGCUGCGACCCGCGCCCCGGCGGCACCGGCCAGCGUUCUGCGGCCGCCGCUGCCUCGGCCCGGGGGUGGGGUGCGAGGGAAUCGCCGCCGCACUGGAACGGUUCCCCUGGGGCCUCAGUCCCGCAGUUUCUUGGCCGCCAGCGCCGAGCCCGCGCGGCCCGGCCCCCUCGGGAUGCCCGCGCUGCGGGCUCUGCUCCCGGCGCCCUCCGCUCCCGGCGCCCUCCCCCGGUGGGGGGUGAGAGGCGGAGCCGCCGUGGCCGCCGCCCGCCGCCUUUAUCUGGCGUGGCGGCGCAGGGGGUGGCACUGGGGAACACCUUGUUGUAAGAUACGCGCUAUAAAUACGGCGCCGGGGAUGGGAGCGUGGCCACGGGCGGCGGGGAACAGCUCCGGAGCACGGUGGGUCCCUUCCCCGCGGCCGGGGACAGCUUAAAUUCUAAUUCACCGGCGCGGUGCGGGCCUGCCAGCCCCUCGGCCACCCCCAACACCCGGUUCCCGGGAGGAGUUGCGGGGGAUUUCUGCGUUUUGCCUUGUUGUGUACGGAGGGGAGCGGCGGCAGCGAGCCCCGGUGGCUGCCGCAGGGCAGCCGGAGGAGCGGAGGCAGGACUCUGAUCGCGAGCAGCCGCCGAGCCCAUCCUGCGACGGAGGGCGGCCGGUGCCGCUAGCGCGGAGGAGGAGGAAGAGGUCGCCAGAGGAGCCCCGCGGGUCCGGUCCGAGCCGCGUCGCUGAGCACGCCCGCCCG